GCCAGAGCGCGAUCGCCCCGGACGACACCACCUGCUUCUUCCCGUUUCCACCGAGCUUUGCGAAAAUCAUGGACUUCUACAAAAUCUGACCGUUUCAGACUGGGCCUCCCUUAUUCCCUUUGGUAUUGCGUGUGCUGCAGUUGGCUUUGGGGUGAAGACCGUCGUGGAUAAAAAGAUUGGUAGUCCUUGCAAUCCCAGUAUCAGAAAGGAGAGUC
Molecule: long non-coding RNA, 215 nt
Organism: Penaeus monodon (black tiger shrimp)
Lineage: Eukaryota; Metazoa; Arthropoda; Malacostraca; Decapoda; Penaeidae
Exons: 3
Source: RefSeq, a predicted model, not a curated record